Molecule: ribosomal RNA, 253 nt
Filed under: uncultured bacterium
Lineage: Bacteria
Description: partial 16S ribosomal RNA
Rfam family: Bacterial small subunit ribosomal RNA
Source: RNAcentral
UACGGAGGAUCCGAGCGUUAUCCGGAUUUAUUGGGUUUAAAGGGUGCGUAGGCGGGCCUGAAAGUCAGCUGUGAAAGUUAAUAGCUCAACUAUUAAAUUGCAGUUGAAACUGUGGGUCUUGAGUGUACAUGAGGUAAGCGGAAUUUGUGGUGUAGCGGUGAAAUGCAUAGAUAUCACAAAGAACUCCAAUUGCGAAGGCAGCUUACUGGGGUACAACUGACGCUGAGGCACGAAGGUGCGGGUAUCAAACAGG